This 500-nucleotide ribosomal RNA is filed under the name uncultured bacterium. Its description in RNAcentral is "partial 16S ribosomal RNA". It matches the Rfam family "Bacterial small subunit ribosomal RNA", at positions 355 to 864 of the family's 1533-position model. The record is from RNAcentral.
UGGGGAAUAUUGCACAAUGGGCGAAAGCCUGAUGCAGCGACGCCGCGUGAGGGAUGACGGCCUUCGGGUUGUAAACCUCUUUCAGCAGGGAAGAAGCGAAAGUGACGGUACCUGCAGAAGAAGCGCCGGCUAACUACGUGCCAGCAGCCGCGGUAAUACGUAGGGCGCAAGCGUUGUCCGGAAUUAUUGGGCGUAAAGAGCUCGUAGGCGGUUAGUCGCGUCUGCUGUGAAAACUCGAGGCUCAACCUCGGGCUUGCAGUGGGUACGGGCUGACUAGAGUGCGGUAGGGGUGACUGGAAUUCCUGGUGUAGCGGUGGAAUGCGCAGAUAUCAGGAGGAACACCGAUGGCGAAGGCAGGUCACUGGGCCGCAACUGACGCUGAGGAGCGAAAGCAUGGGGAGCGAACAGGAUUAGAUAGCCCUGGUAGUCCAUGCCGUAAACGUUGGGCACUAGGUGUGGGUCCAUUCCACGGAUUCCGUGCCGCAGCAAAGCGCAUUAAG